GUCGGGUGCAGUGGCGCGCGCCUGUAAUCCAAGCUGCUGGGGGGCUGAGGCUGGCGGAUCGCUUGAGUUCAGGGGUUCUGGGCUGCAGUGGACUAUGUCGAUCGGGUGUCCGCACUAAGUUCGGUAUCGAUAUGGUGCUCCUGGGGGAGCUCGGGACCACCAGGUCGUCUAAGGAGGGGUGAACCGGCCCAGGUCGGAGACGGAGCAGGUCAAAGCCCCCGUGUCGAUCAGUAGUGGGGUCGCGCCUGUGAAUAGACACUGCAGUGCAGCCUGAGCGAUACAGCGAGACUCAGACUUU
RNAcentral lists this signal recognition particle RNA (298 nucleotides) under Sinocyclocheilus rhinocerous. Its description in RNAcentral is "Metazoan signal recognition particle RNA (ENSSRHG00000041891.1)". It matches the Rfam family "Metazoan signal recognition particle RNA". From Rfam's summary of the family: The signal recognition particle (SRP) is a universally conserved ribonucleoprotein. It is involved in the co-translational targeting of proteins to membranes. The record is from RNAcentral. Lineage: Eukaryota; Metazoa; Chordata; Actinopteri; Cypriniformes; Cyprinidae.